GUAACAGGUCUUCGGAUGCUGACGAGUGGCGAACGGGUGAGUAAUACAUCGGAACGUGCCCGAGAGUGGGGGAUAACGAAGCGAAAGCUUUGCUAAUACCGCAUACGAUCUCAGGAUGAAAGCAGGGGACCGCAAGGCCUUGCGCUCACGGAGCGGCCGAUGGCAGGUUAGGUAGUUGGUGGGAUAAAAGCUUACCAAGCCGACGAUCUGUAGCUGGUCUGAGAGGACGACCAGCCACACUGGGACUGAGACACGGCCCAGACUCCUACGGGAGGCAGCAGUGGGGAAUUUUGGACAAUGGGCGCAAGCCUGAUCCAGCCAUGCCGCGUGCAGGAUGAAGGCCUUCGGGUUGUAAACUGCUUUUGUACGGAACGAAAAGACUCUGGUUAAUACCUGGGGUCCAUGACGGUACCGUAAGAAUAAGCACCGGCUAACUACGUGCCAGCAGCCGCGGUAAUACGUAGGGUGCGAGCGUUAAUCGGAAUUACUGGGCGUAAAGCGUGCGCAGGCGGUUAUAUAAGACAGAUGUGAAAUCCCCGGGCUCAACCUGGGAACUGCAUUUGUGACUGUAUAGCUAGAGUACGGCAGAGGGGGAUGGAAUUCCGCGUGUAACAGUGAAAUGCGUAGAUAUGCGGAGGAACACCGAUGGCGAAGGCAAUCCCCUGGGCCUGUACUGACGCUCAUGCACGAAAGCGUGGGGAGCAAACAGGAUUAGAUACCCUNNNAGUCCACGCCCUAAACGAUGUCAACUGGUUGUUGGGUCUUCACUGACUCAGUAACGAAGCUAACGCGUGAAGUUGACCGCCUGGGGAGUACGGCCGCAAGGUUGAAACUCAAANGAAUUGACGGGGACCCGCACAGCGGUGGNUGAUGUGGUUUAANUCGAUGCA
This 890-nucleotide ribosomal RNA is filed under the name uncultured bacterium. RNAcentral's name for it is "bacterial SSU rRNA". It matches the Rfam family "Bacterial small subunit ribosomal RNA", at positions 69 to 958 of the family's 1533-position model. The record is from RNAcentral.